Molecule: ribosomal RNA, 435 nt
Filed under: uncultured bacterium
Lineage: Bacteria
Description: partial 16S ribosomal RNA
Rfam family: Bacterial small subunit ribosomal RNA
Source: RNAcentral
AGCGAACGCUGGCGGCAGGCUUAACACAUGCAAGUCGAGCGGGCACUUUCGGGUGUCAGCGGCGGACGGGUGAGUAACGCGUGGGAACGUGCCCUCUGGUUCGGAAUAACUCAGGGAAACUUGAGCUAAUACCGGAUACGCCCUUUUGGGGAAAGGCUUGCUGCCGGAGGAUCGGCCCGCGUCUGAUUAGCUAGUUGGUGAGGUAACGGCUCACCAAGGCGACGAUCAGUAGCUGGUCUGAGAGGAUGAUCAGCCACACUGGGGCUGAGACACGGCCCAGACUCCUACGGGAAGCAGCAGUGGGGAAUAUUGGACAAUGGGCGCAAGCCUGAUCCAGCCAUGCCGCGUGAGUGAUGAAGGCCUUAGGGUUGUAAAGCUCUUUUAUCCGGGACGAUAAUGACGGUACCGGAGGAAUAAGCCCCGGCUAACUUCGUG